AUGCUGGGGAGUGGUGGUGGUGGGGUGGGAGAUGUUGACAAGCUGGAAAGCGUCCAGAGGAGGGCGACUAAAAUGAUUAAGGGUCUGGAGAACAAGCCCUAUGAGGAGCGGCUUAAAGAGCUGGGCAUGUUUAGCCUGCAGAAGAGAAGGCUGAGAGGAGACAUGAUAGCCAUGUACAAAUAUGUGAAGGGAAGUCAUAGGGAAGAGGGAGCAAGCUUGUACAUGGCUAUCAUGUCUCCUCUCAGCCUUCUCUUAAUGUUCUUGCUCUUGAUAUGUGCCUGUAAUUCAACACCAACCUAUAGAAAACUUGUCUAAAAGUUUUCUUCGUGAGAUUUAUUCAGAAAAGUCUGCCAUUGCCUUCCUCUGAAAGAGUGGGAUUUACCCAAGAUCAUUCAGGAGGUUGUGUGGCUAAUUGGGGAUUCUAGUCCUGAUCUUCCACAGUCCUGAUCCAACACUCAAACCACUGCACCAUGCUAGUUAUAAUGAAAAUAUGACCUACGAUCUUCUGUAAACUGUUUCCCAUUCCUAUUUUCCACUUCCAAUAUAUGCAACCAGAGUUAAGCCCAAGUACGUGCAUUGACCAUGAUUACAUUUGCAGAUUUUUGUUAUUUAAUCCCAGUCAAUCCUAUGAAACUAUGAUGGAUAUGAGAGACCCUUUUCCUGCUUUACCUGUGUCCUUUUUUGGAGAAGAAGGAUUUCUCAAAAUCUUCAUUCCUUUAAGGUUUUUUUCCUUUAUUAUCGGCAUAUUGGAGUUCUAUAACAGAUGUUGUUGUGACCUUGGUUUUGGCAUUCAGUCUGCUGAAGUUAAAUAGCUCACCAUAUAUCCAAUAAAUGAUUUCCACUCUGGUGAGAAGCUUCCCAUCAACAACAUGAAAUAUCAUAGCGAUGAAGAUGGAAAAUAAGGUUGGGGCAAUAACACAUCCCUGUUUGACACCUGAUUCCACCUUAAAUUGAUCACUUUGUGAGCCAUUGCUGUCCAAGACUGUUGCCAUCACGUCAUUGUGGAGGAGCUGCAGGAUGUUCACAAAUUUGUCAGGGCAUCCAAUUUUUUUGGAGGAUGGUCCAGUCAGGUCUGCAAUCAGUGUGAAUGCCUUUGCAAGGUCAAUU
RNAcentral lists this long non-coding RNA (1107 nucleotides) under Anolis carolinensis (green anole). Its description in RNAcentral is "lncRNA (ENSACAG00000043319.1)". The record is from RNAcentral. Lineage: Eukaryota; Metazoa; Chordata; Lepidosauria; Squamata; Anolidae.